GUGGGGAAUAUUGGACAAUGGGCGAAAGCCUGAUCCAGCCAUGCCGCGUGUGUGAAGAAGGUCUUCGGAUUGUAAAGCACUUUAAGUUGGGAGGAAGGGCAGUAAGUUAAUACCUUGCUGUUUUGACGUUACCGACAGAAUAAGCACAGGCUAACUUCGUGCCAGCAGCCGCGGUAAUACGAAGGGUGCAAGCGUUAAUCGGAAUUACUGGGCGUAAAGCGCGCGUAGGUGGUUUUGUAAGUUGGAGGUGAAAUCCCCGGGCUCAACCUGGGAACUGCCUCCAAAACUGCAUGACUAGAGUACGGUAGAGGGUAGUGGAAUUUCCUGUGUAGCGGUGAAAUGCGUAGAUAUAGGAAGGAACACCAGUGGCGAAGGCGACUACCUGGACUGAUACUGACACUGAGGUGCGAAAGCGUGGGGAGCAAACAGGAUUAGAAACCCUAGUAGUCC
Molecule: ribosomal RNA, 450 nt
Filed under: uncultured bacterium
Lineage: Bacteria
Description: bacterial SSU rRNA
Rfam family: Bacterial small subunit ribosomal RNA
Source: RNAcentral